This 446-nucleotide ribosomal RNA is filed under the name uncultured bacterium. RNAcentral describes it as "partial 16S ribosomal RNA". It matches the Rfam family "Bacterial small subunit ribosomal RNA", at positions 338 to 795 of the family's 1533-position model. The record is from RNAcentral.
CCUACGGGGGGCAGCAGUCGAGAAUCAUUCACAAUGGGGGAAACCCUGAUGGUGCGACGCCGCGUGGGGGAAUGAAGGUCUUCGGAUUGUAAACCCCUGUCAUGUGGGAGCAAAUUAAAAAGAUCGUACCACAAGAGGAAGAGACGGCUAACUCUGUGCCAGCAGCCGCGGUAAUACAGAGGUCUCAAGCGUUGUUCGGAAUCACUGGGCGUAAAGUGUGCGUAGGCUGUUUCGUAAGUCGUGUGUGAAAGGCGCGGGCUCAACCCGCGGACGGCACAUGAUACUGCGAGACUAGAGUAAUGGAGGGGGAACCGGAAUUCUCGGUGUAGCAGUGAAAUGCGUAGAUAUCGAGAGGAACACUCGUGGCGAAGGCGGGUUCCUGGACAUUAACUGACGCUGAGGCACGAAGGCCAGGGGAGCGAAAGGGAUUAGAUACCCGAGUAGUC